CCUACGGGAGGCAGCAGUGGGGAAUAUUGCGCAAUGGGCGAAAGCCUGACGCAGCGACGCCGCGUGAGGGAUGAAGGUCUUCGGAUCGUAAACCUCUGUCAGCAGGGAAGAACGGUCACUGUGCUAAUCAGCAGUGAAUUGACGGUACCUGCAAAGGAAGCAUCGGCUAACUCCGUGCCAGCAGCCGAGGUAAUACGGAGGGUGCGAGCGUGAAUCGGAAUUACUGGGCGGAAAGCGAUCGUAGGUGGUAUGUCAAGUCAAGGGUGAAAUCCGAGCGCGCAACGUGGGAACUGCCUUUGAAACUGGCAAACGUGAGUGUGUGAGAGGAUAGUGGAAUUCCAGGUGUAGGAGUGAAAGUCGUAGAUA
Molecule: ribosomal RNA, 366 nt
Filed under: uncultured bacterium
Lineage: Bacteria
Description: partial 16S ribosomal RNA
Rfam family: Bacterial small subunit ribosomal RNA
Source: RNAcentral